Molecule: ribosomal RNA, 112 nt
Filed under: Candidatus Thermochlorobacter aerophilus
Lineage: Bacteria; Pseudomonadati; Chlorobiota; Chlorobiia; Chlorobiales; Candidatus Thermochlorobacteriaceae
Source: RNAcentral
UUCGGUGGCUAUAUCCGCAGGGAUCACCUCUUCCCAUUCCGAACAGAGAAGUUAAGCCUGCGAGAGCCGAUGGUACUGCGCUUCGGCGCGGGAGAGUAGGUCGCUGCCGAGC